RNAcentral lists this long non-coding RNA (3784 nucleotides) under Sorghum bicolor (sorghum). RNAcentral's name for it is "long non-coding RNA (SBIC_LNC018375)". Lineage: Eukaryota; Viridiplantae; Streptophyta; Magnoliopsida; Poales; Poaceae. The record is from RNAcentral.
AAUUAAAAUUUAUAUUUUAUAAUAUGAUAAUAAUAAUUUAUUUACUUAGAUUAUUAAAUUUAUUCAAAGUUAACUCAUGAAAAUAUUUAUUAUUUGUUGCAUCUUGUUUAUACAUGUGAAUAUGUGUCUAUAUAUCCGCGGAUUUCGGGUAACUAUUUCGGUUUUGGGUAUCCGUUCGGGUUUCGGGUAUCCGCGGGUUUGGUUUUGGUGUUGAAUUUCCACCCGAUUUGGUUUCGGUUUUGGUUUCGGGUUUCGACUUCGCGUUUCGGUUUUGGGUGCACGGAGACUCCACCCGAUCCAAACCCAACCUGUUGCCAUCCUUAAAUGGUGCUCUUCCUUCACUUAGUUGUCAGGUUAGUGUGUUGGCUUCAAUGGUGCCUUAAUGAACGAGUGGACAUGGCUAAGCCCCAUUUAUCGCAGCUGGAUAUUAUCUCAAAACAAUUUUGAUCUCAGCAUACUCUUAUAUAUGGCUAACAAAUUUUUAAUUUAAUAUGUCGCUAAUCUCAUUGACAUCGGUUUUAUGUACUCUAAUAUUAGUUUUUAUGUACAGCUUGAUUCGAAAGAUAUGCUACUUCAUGAAGAGCAGAUAGCUAAAGUUCAAGAACACGUCAUUCAGCAGGUGUAUGGUGAUACUGUGCUUGCCGAAAAAAACACUUCAUUUCAGUGUCGAGGCUGGCUGGCUGGCUGCAAUAAGGUAAUAACGUGGACAUUGUCGGAUUCAUGGUUGGAUGACUGUUGUUACCUAUGAAUUCCGUAAUUACUCUCCUAGAUUGAUUUUACGCUUCUAUAGUUUACCUGCUCCUACAUAGCGAUUGCAAGACUAGAUUUCCUUACAAAGCUACACUGAGAUAUUUUUUCCCUGAAAAAGAAAGUUACUCUAGAUGCUUCCUUACACAAAAUGUGUAGCUUUCCCAGUUUUGCUAAUAAAGCUGGUAAAAAGGAUUGAUGUUCUUGUGGUUGGUUUGACACUUUGAAAUUACCACUGCUUUGCAGCAAACAAUAAAGUGUGCAUAAUCGUUCUAUUUUUAUCUUUUAUGUGCUUCAUGAAGACCUAUAUUUGAUCCUGUUCAGCUGAGUGUUGAUGAAUUAUGUACCUUUUUGCCAUAAACACAUAAUUAUCAACAUAAAGAAAGAUAUCGACUGGGACCACCUUGAGUUCAGGAUUUGAGCCACCAAAUUUGUUGUUCUUUCUUUCCAAAAGGUUGUCUUCUCCUAAAUUUUAAUAUCCCACUACAGGCAGGUCAAAAAAAGGGUUGACCGUGCCUACACAAAGCUAUCCAAAGCUAAUACUGACACUGCCAAGUUAAACCAAUGUCCUAUCCCUAUUCAGCUGUAUUUGUAGCCUUUGAACGAUUUGGAAUCCCACUAUUUUGACAUUGUUGACAUCAUACAUCCACAAUAUAAUUCCGUCUUUAAACUAAACCAAAAAAAAGAUCUUUCAGUCCAAACUUACUUCCUCAGUCAGCAUCUAUGUUUUCUUUUAUUUUUACCAGACAUAUCUAUUUGCUUCAUCCACUUUGGGUCUCUUACAUAAAUAAAAUUAUUACAUUCAGUUGCACUACACUUUUACUUUUUCCACUACCAGUGCAGAACAUAGAGCGCCAAUCACCUGUGCCAAAAACUUUCAGAAUGUUGUUGACAGAGGUGGCUGAUUUCAUAUAUGUUCAAAGAUCUGAUCAUUCAUCUAAACCCAUAGAUAUGCAGUUUAUGCUAAAUAUUUAGGACAUCACUUAUGUUUCCAGACGUAGGAAAAAAAUUCUGAAAAAGUUUAUGUAUCCAUAUGAAUUUACUUCAUAUAUUUAGUGACACCUUUCCAACGUGUCUUAACCCUGUGACGAUUCUAUUUUAGUGAUACAGGUAAAAGAAAGCGAUGAAGAAACAUACAUAGACAAGAGCAUCGAACCAACACCCCCUCCCCCCCCCCCCCCCCCCUCUACCACCACCACCACAAAAAAAACCAGCCAUUCCUCAUUAGAUUACACAGCAAAGAGGUGAUUUCGUUGAGCAAUAUAAUACAUACCUAUAUAUUAUAGCACCCAGAACGGAAUAUAAGUUCUGCGCAUUAUGCAGUUUCCAAUACCAAAGUCAUAAAAAGAGAAAAUCCAUGUUGCCAUGCAGGGAAAUAGCAGCAGAAGAACAAGCUUCUCGCAGUAAAAAUAGGUGAGGCCCAAUCACGCUGCCCAUGUAGUCAGAUAUUGCUCACCUAAUAUUAAUUGUAUGCUUCAUGCCUUCAAUUUACUCUGGUUUUCUGAUGUGGUAGUUUUGUGUAUAGUUAGAAUGGGCGGGUCUCUUCUUUUUCACUUGCUCUUUCUUUUCCUACUAAAGUUCCCACGCUGCUCAUUAUCUUUUAAUUUUUUAUUUAUUUUAUUUACAGUACACAAUAUCUCCAGAAUUUUUACUCUCUUAAUAGAUUUAGUGUCUUCGUUCCAUACUACCUAUGAGACUAGAUCUUUUCCUACUAUUAUGACAGAUUUAAUAAGUGUCUUACAUACUCCUCGUGCUACUAACCGUUCUCCUUAUCCUACAACAAGUAUAUGAAACAGCGACAUGGAUCUACCAUUUUGUAACAUGAACAAGCUAUGCUCGGUGCAUAUGACAAGUCCCUAAUCACUUUCCUAUAUCCAGCCUGAUAAAAACAGUAAACUGACCAUCAAUUAUGGAGAAUUCAUCGCUGCAGUUGUGCCUCUUAAGAAAAUAGAACGUGAUGAGCACUUCAUGGCACCUUUUACUUCGACAGAGAUGGCAGUGCUCAGCGAGCUUCUGGAGACCAUAACAUGGACCACACUUUCUUUGAAGAGAUCAUUUAAGAUAUCGAACCAAACAAUGUAAGUUGGUUCUCUUACUUUAAGGACAGUAGUAGUGCAAAAAGAUUUUACCAUCAAUGUGAAUUACUUGGGCUACCUAAACAUGUCAGUCUCAUUCUAGACCGUGCGGUUGCAUUGCACGAAAAUACUACAAUGGUUCCUGACUGGGCUCAUUGCGUCAACCACAUAGUCUUAACUCACAGCUGUUGAUUUCAGCAACCAUAAAGGAUAAAAAAAUGUAAAUAUACUUGCUGACAGACCCUUCACCUUUUGAUCUUCAAUUUACAUGCGACAAUUCUCCUUGCCGAUAAUUCUCCUAUGUUUUUUUUUGCAAUUGACCUGACAAAUAGGCAAUAUAUUAUAGAAAUAUAUGAUCUGCAUGAUACUAUAGAAUUAUAUGACCUGACCAUAGCUGUUAAGAACUUAGGACUACCAAAUACCAACAAGGCCUCUGCUUAGUUCUAUUGUACUACUUCACUAAUGCAUAUGCUCUUGUGUCUGCUUUUCAGGAUGGUCAAAUCGACUGUGCCCCAAGUUCAUAGCGAUAAAACAAAUCAACAAAGUUUGGACUUUGGUGGUAACCAAUGCAAAACACUUGCAAUAUAUAACCUUGACAGGUGCACAUCAAGUACACUGUCAGUGAUGCACUAACCAUGUUCUUCACUUAUUAAUCGAUUAUUCGUCAAGCUCAGUGAAUCAAAUUAUUUAACAGUAUUUAUAUCCCAAAUAAGUGUAGCCUGCCAAGCAAUAUGUAAUUUGUCAUGAGAGUUUGCAGUUUUUACAUUAUGCAAUAAAAAAACAAUUGCCUAUAUUUACGAACUCGCGCGAGGGCGCGUGCCUUCCACUAGUGCAAACACAAAUUCGGUGAUGAAUGAAGCAAACAAAAGCCGGUGCAGACACUUGUGGGCCAUAGCAGUUCUGGUUUCCAUUCUCAAGUCCGAUCCGGGGCCUUGUUUAGUUCGAACUAAAAUAAAAAAAAA